This is a non-coding RNA of Halobacillus sp. BBL2006, 108 nucleotides long. NCBI's taxonomy places the organism in Bacteria, Bacillati, Bacillota, Bacilli, Caryophanales, Bacillaceae. The record is from Rfam.
UAGUCCUUUAAAGACAGUCCCGUGAGGCUGGAAAGGUUUCGGAAUACACAUGCGAGACAUGUGUCUAAAUCCCUUUUCUGCCUCUGUGCGGAUAAGGGAUUUUUUAGU